This 253-nucleotide ribosomal RNA is filed under the name uncultured bacterium. RNAcentral describes it as "partial 16S ribosomal RNA". It matches the Rfam family "Bacterial small subunit ribosomal RNA", at positions 524 to 776 of the family's 1533-position model. The record is from RNAcentral.
UACGUAGGGUGCGAGCGUUAAUCGGAAUUACUGGGCGUAAAGCGUGCGCAGGCGGUUCGUUAAGUCAGAUGUGAAAGCCCCGGGCUCAACCUGGGAACUGCAUUUGAAACUGGCGGGCUUGAGUGCGGCAGAGGGAGGUGGAAUUCCACGUGUAGCAGUGAAAUGCGUAGAGAUGUGGAGGAACACCGAUGGCGAAGGCAGCCUCCUGGGCCAGCACUGACGCUCAUGCACGAAAGCGUGGGGAGCAAACAGG